GGGGAUGCACCGGUUUCGACGGGGAUAGAUGGGAUUUGAUAAGCGAGCAGCGGGGUUCCCGAACCGCUUCAGUAAGGGAAAAAGUGUUUUUAAAAUAAACGCUAACGAAGAAUACGCUCUGGCGGCAUGAGCCAGCCUCCGCCGACUGAUUCUCGCUGAGUCGGGUCGGAGGUCAACGCGAGAUACCAGACUCUAACGCGCCAUAACGGUCUGGGAAUUUUUUCCGGCGAUAGACUUUGCAAAGUUUGUCAGUGAGUUAGGCAAAGUCGAAAACUCAAUCACUGUCUGCGCUCGGAGAAAGUCGGGUAACGUCAUUUUCGGACGCGGGUUCGACUCCCGCCAUCUCCACUA
RNAcentral lists this transfer-messenger RNA (351 nucleotides) under Selenomonadaceae. RNAcentral's name for it is "Quinella sp017614505 Standard tmRNA". It matches the Rfam family "transfer-messenger RNA". From Rfam's summary of the family: Bacterial tmRNA, also known as 10Sa RNA or SsrA, is named for its dual tRNA and mRNA-like properties. Its role is to liberate the mRNA from a stalled ribosome. RNAcentral also lists the same sequence under 1 other name. Lineage: Bacteria; Bacillati; Bacillota; Negativicutes; Selenomonadales. The record is from RNAcentral.